GUGGGGAAUUUUGGACAAUGGGCGCAAGCCUGAUCCAGCAAUGCCGCGUGCAGGAAGAAGGCCUUCGGGUUGUAAACUGCUUUUGUACGGAACGAAACGGUCCUGGUUAAUACCUGGGGCUAAUGACGGUACCGUAAGAAUAAGCACCGGCUAACUACGUGCCAGCAGCCGCGGUAAUACGUAGGGUGCAAGCGUUAAUCGGAAUUACUGGGCGUAAUGCGUGCGCAGGCGGUUUUGUAAGACAGGCGUGAAAUCCCCGGGCUCAACCUGGGAAUUGCCUUUGUGACUGCAAGGCUGGAGUGCGGCAGAGGGGGAUGGAAUUCCGCGUGUAGCAGUGAAAUGCGUAGAUAUGCGGAGGAACACCGAUGGCGAAGGCAAUCCCCUGGGCCUGCACUGACGCUCAUGCACGAAAGCGUGGGGAGCAAACAGGAUUAGAUACCCCAGUAGUCC
Molecule: ribosomal RNA, 450 nt
Filed under: uncultured bacterium
Lineage: Bacteria
Description: partial 16S ribosomal RNA
Rfam family: Bacterial small subunit ribosomal RNA
Source: RNAcentral